RNAcentral lists this long non-coding RNA (231 nucleotides) under Dromaius novaehollandiae (emu). Its description in RNAcentral is "lncRNA (ENSDNVG00000007665.1)". The record is from RNAcentral. Lineage: Eukaryota; Metazoa; Chordata; Aves; Casuariiformes; Dromaiidae.
UAAGCCCCUGCAUGUGUAGCAGCAGCAGGUCAACAACAGCUUCACUGCUGUUGCUUGUCUUCUCAUGUAUGCUGUGUAGGUAGAGCUGUAGUUUUUUCUUCUGCAUCUUUUCUUCUGUAGAUGUAACCUUUUUUGGACUUUUUUCUCUCUUCCUCAGUACAGAUAUGAGCUGGGUAGCAACAGAGAUCAAGGAACUAACCCUAGAGAGAAAAAGACUCUCAGAGUAGCAGG